GCAAGUCACAAGCCACUGGUGACAGAGAAGACAGGGAUGGGUAAUCUUCCAGGAAGAAAAGUCAUUGCAGAGAAGGACUUUGAAUAUUCUUCCUUUUUCUGAGAGAGUCUAUGCAAAAUGAUCCACAAAAGAGAAUAAUUGGAAAGAAGCACAAUUUUGAAUGCACAAGAAAAAGUUCAACUGUGCUCUUUCAGCCCAUGAUGUUGCAAACAUCAUGUGAAAGUGCCUGUGGUUUAAAUAAAGCUGAAGUCACAUUGACCACGAGCCUAACCUAAGCACAAGGUGGUAUUACAGCAACUGGCAAAGAAUUUUGCUGAAGAAUACUUCUCAAAGGAGGCAAGGAAAGAGAGUUCGCCCAUCUGCUGGUUCAUUCUCCCAAAUGAUCAUAGCAACUAUAACUCAUCCAGGCUGAAGCCAAAAGUCAGGAACUCCAUGUGGGCCUCCAAAGUGGGUGACUGGGACUCAGGUACCUCAGCCAUCAUGUGCUGGUUCCAGGAUACACAGCAUCAGGAAGCUAGAAUCGUGAAUGGAGCAGGAUAUGAAGAGUAUGUUUAAGGACAAAUUUGGU
Molecule: long non-coding RNA, 568 nt
Organism: Ochotona princeps (American pika)
Lineage: Eukaryota; Metazoa; Chordata; Mammalia; Lagomorpha; Ochotonidae
Exons: 4
Source: RefSeq, a predicted model, not a curated record